AGAAAGUUGUGCCAUGUAGGACGCUAAUCAGCAGCCCCGGUGAAGCAGAACGUGCCGCGUGGUAAGGGACACUGACACGAUGUCAUGCGGGAGGCCAUGCAAGCAAUUCGCGUGCUCACGAUCGGACGGCCCAGAUCUGCUCCCUGUGCACGGACGGCUCAGAUGCGAGCACUCCCCAGACGCGAUCAACGGUGUAGAUCUACUUCUUAUUUUAUCCCGAUCGGAAGGUCCAGAUCAAACGUGAUGGACGACCUAAAUUAACAGA
This 265-nucleotide long non-coding RNA is filed under the name Carica papaya (papaya). RNAcentral's name for it is "long non-coding RNA (CPAP_LNC010910)". The record is from RNAcentral. Lineage: Eukaryota; Viridiplantae; Streptophyta; Magnoliopsida; Brassicales; Caricaceae.